This 229-nucleotide long non-coding RNA is filed under the name Ananas comosus (pineapple). RNAcentral describes it as "long non-coding RNA (ACOM_LNC036184)". Lineage: Eukaryota; Viridiplantae; Streptophyta; Magnoliopsida; Poales; Bromeliaceae. The record is from RNAcentral.
GAAAACUAAUAAUUACGUAACUUCUCCAUUCUAGUUCAUAUUCUCCUGAAACUUGACGAGUGCUUAUGUAACUAAAUUACACACAUAAACACCAUCAACAGAGAGUUUAUUUGCACUGUAAAAAUCUCAGUCCUUACAUUAUCCCCCCCUUAAAAGAAGUUUCGUCCCCGAAACUUGACCACAUACCCACCGGAAUCGAAUUCGGAUAUUACUUCCACCACUGUGGUAU